Long non-coding RNA from Lathyrus oleraceus (garden pea), 920 nucleotides. RefSeq lists it as uncharacterized. NCBI's taxonomy places the organism in Eukaryota, Viridiplantae, Streptophyta, Magnoliopsida, Fabales, Fabaceae. The transcript is spliced from 2 exons. The record is from RefSeq and is a predicted model, not a curated record.
UUCAACAAUUAAUAUGUACGCUUCUCUGAAUCCUAAUCUCCAAAGUUUAACGAUGAAUCUUCCUAUUCAAAAUCAACCUUCCCCGAAUCAGAUUCGUUUGCACGCGAAGCUAAGAAGAAAAACGGACAACUCAACAACUGAAGCAAGAACGUAUAAGAGGACUUACCAGAUUUAAACUCCAUCGUGGUGGUUCUCUGGCUAACAACAGGUAUUAAAUUCUCUCCAUUCUUUGCUCAGCUUUGUGAUGUAUGCUUCUUCCUCUUCUCGUUUCUUCCCCACAUUUCUUCUUCUAUUUCUGCAGGUUAAAUUGUUUAGUGAUGUUAAAAUGAUUUAUCAGAUGAGAGUUCAAAAUUUAUGUUGCUCUAUUUUUAAAAAUUCUGCUAUGUGAUAUUUGUAUGUAAUGCAGUGAUGGAUAAUUGUUGUUAUGUUGAAUGUGAGUGGUCUGCUCGAUUUCAUGUAUGGACUGUUGUUAGUUCAAGUUACAAUGCCAUGAUGAAUUAUCUGCUGCCAUGUUGAUGUGUUGCUGCAGGGUGGCGAUUGAUGUUCAUGUUCUGAUAUUGCAGAACAUGUAUUGAGAUGCAAAAUGCAAGUUGCAGCAUGAUGGAAGUAUAUGUCAUGGUGACCAAGGUAAGGCAAAGUGAAACUAAGGCAUGACCAACUUGUAAAAAAGGAUUUCUUGCUCAUGAAGGAAGUGUAAUAAUUGAAGCUCAAGAAAUUAAUGCAAGGAUGAAAAUGUGAUUAGUAUUAGGAUUUUAGGGAUGAAAAAUGUAAUGGUUGACUUUGGUCAACUAGUUGACCAAAAAGUCAACAGUUGACCAAAAGUCAACUUUUAUAAAAAUGUAAUUUUUUGAUUUCUUUUUGUAAUGGACUAUGUAUACCUUUAUGAAUGAAUGAAAACUCAAUUGUUUUGAUGAAACAAA